UCUGUAGCUUAGUGGGUAGAGCGUCAGAUUGUGGCUCUGAAGGUCGCAGGUUCGAAUCCUGUCAUU
RNAcentral lists this transfer RNA (66 nucleotides) under bovine gut metagenome. It matches the Rfam family "tRNA", at positions 6 to 65 of the family's 71-position model. From Rfam's summary of the family: Transfer RNA (tRNA) molecules are approximately 80 nucleotides in length. The record is from RNAcentral.